CCCAGCCAGGAGAUGGACUGACAGAUUGCAAAUUAAACUAGUCCUAAUGUAAGAAUGAAAGCAGCCCCCCCCAAAUCUCUCCCAGCACCAGCCCGGCAGCAAAGAGCCCGGCACGGAGGGAGCGUGGCUGCGGCUGGGCUGGUCCAGGGAGGGACAAUAAAGCCAGUCCCGGGCAGGAAAAAAUCACAAGGUGGAGUUGAAUACAAUGUGAUUAACUACAAGCAAUAUGUUGUGAAGAUGAUGGUAUUCAGACACAUACCCAAACAAUUUGAUUCAGAUAAAUUGGAUACAAGACUUUGACCAGCACGAGAAGAACAGUGUCUUUCAGAUGAAGAAAGUGAAAUCCUUUUCUGCCCCUGGUGCCUGAGUAAAUUGA
Manacus vitellinus (golden-collared manakin) is the source of this 376-nucleotide long non-coding RNA. RefSeq lists it as uncharacterized. Lineage: Eukaryota; Metazoa; Chordata; Aves; Passeriformes; Pipridae. The record is from RefSeq and is a predicted model, not a curated record. The transcript is spliced from 3 exons.